This 292-nucleotide ribosomal RNA is filed under the name uncultured bacterium. RNAcentral describes it as "partial 16S ribosomal RNA". The record is from RNAcentral.
GGACUACAGGGGUUUCUAAUCCUGUUUGCUCCCCACGCUUUCGCUCCUCAGCGUCAGGUCAGGCCCAGAGAACCGCCUUCGCCACCGGUGUUCCUCCCGAUAUCUGCGCAUUUCACCGCUACACCGGGAAUUCCAUUCUCCCCUACCUGCCUCUAGUCCGCCCGUAUCCACUGCAGGCCCGGGGUUGAGCCCCGGGUUUUCACAGCAGACGUAGCGAACCGCCUACGAGCUCUUUACGCCCAAUAAUUCCGGACAACGCUUGCGCCCUACGUGUUACCGCGGCUGCUGGCAC